Molecule: ribosomal RNA, 1166 nt
Filed under: Haliclona sp. 24 JV-2020
Lineage: Eukaryota; Metazoa; Porifera; Demospongiae; Haplosclerida; Chalinidae
Description: partial large subunit ribosomal RNA
Rfam family: Eukaryotic large subunit ribosomal RNA
Source: RNAcentral
UCCCUUAGUAACGGCGAGCGAAGUGGGAAGAAGCCCAGGUCUGAAAUCUCCCGGUUGGCAUUUGCUGUGGCCGGGCGAAUUGUGGUCUGGAGAGGCGGACUGUCCUGAUCCACUGCUUGCAAGCCCGAAGUUGACUUGGAACGGCACGCCGAAGAGGGUGAGAGCCCCGUAGGGCCUAGAAAUUGCUGGCAGCAGGACGAGGGUCCGUACUCGUAGAGUCGGGUUGUUUGGGAAUGCAGCCCCAAGUGGGUGGUAGACUCCAUCCAAGGCUAAAUACGGGCGCGAGACCGAUAGCUGACAAGUACCGUGAGGGAAAGGUGAAAAGCACUUUGAAGAGAGAGUUCAAUAGACCGUGAAACCGUUGGGAGGGAAGCUCAGGGUGUCGAGGUUGUCGUGCUCUGUCGGAGUUCAGCCCGCGGUGGACUGUCCUGCCCGCCGUUGGUGCACUCGCCGUCAGAGUUGGACCGUCAGUCGGGAAGAGACCUUUGGGGCCUGUUUGUCGGCGGUUUGGGAGGUACGCCUCGUGGUUUCCUUUCGGGGGAGCUCGAGGUGACGUACAGCCGGCCGUCGUGGUCUCGGUUUUCUUUCAGGUGCGUUUGGAUGUCUGUUCGUCCGGAAUGGGAAGGCGCAGUCUCCCCUUGUGGGAGGUCGAGCCGGUCCUGCGGUUGUGCUGCUCGGUGGGACUCGUGCUCCGUUUCCUCUCCGUUGCCCUCGCGGUGCGGAGCAGGGUGCGGCGCGACUCGCCGUUGUCGGUGUCCCUCGGGGCCUGCGUUCCAAGUUUCUGCGUCUAGGUGACUGGCGAAGAGUCGUUACCCUGUGCCCCGUCUUGAAACACGGACCAAGGAGUGCAAGAGAUGCGCAAGUCGGAAGGGUUGUGUUGGGGUCUUUCCCUCGGGAAUGGCCUUGCCUGAGAGACCCAUGUGUUUGGAACGGGCGAAGUGAGAGCAAUUUCUUGGGUGCGAGAGCCUUGGGGAUGACCCGGGGCGCAUCGCUGGCCGAGCCUAAUGGUCACGCUGUGGCCGGUUUCGAGUGCGAGCGUAUCUGUUGCGACCCGAAAGAUGGUGAACUAUGCCUGAGGAGGGUGAAGCCAGAGGAAACUCUGGUGGAGGCCCGUAGCGGUUCUGACGUGCAAAUCGAUCGUCGCACUUGGGUAUAGGGGCGAAAGA